RNAcentral lists this ribosomal RNA (649 nucleotides) under uncultured bacterium. RNAcentral describes it as "bacterial SSU rRNA". It matches the Rfam family "Bacterial small subunit ribosomal RNA", at positions 43 to 687 of the family's 1533-position model. The record is from RNAcentral.
CAGGCCUAACACAUGCAAGUCGAGCGAAUGAGGGGAGCUUGCUCCCUGAUUUAGCGGCGGACGGGUGAGUAAUGUAUAGGGAGCUGCCCGAUAGAGGGGGAUACCAGUUGGAAACGACUGUUAAUACCGCAUAAUGUCUACGGACCAAAGUGUGGGACCUUCGGGCCACAUGCUAUCGGAUGCACCUAUAUGGGAUUAGCUAGUUGGUGGGGUAACGGCUCACCAAGGCGACGAUCCCUAGCUGGUUUGAGAGGAUGAUUAGCCACACUGGAACUGAGACACGGUCCAGACUCCUACGGGAGGCAGCAGUGGGGAAUAUUGGACAAUGGGCGCAAGCCUGAUCCAGCCAUGCCGCGUGUGUGAAGAAGGCCUUCGGGUUGUAAAGCACUUUCAGCGAGGAGGAAGGGUGUUGUGUUAAUAGCACAGCAUUUUGACGUUACUCGCAGAAGAAGCACCGGCUAACUCCGUGCCAGCAGCCGCGGUAAUACGGAGGGUGCAAGCGUUAAUCGGAAUUACUGGGCGUAAAGCGCACGUAGGCGGUGUGUUAAGUUGGAUGUGAAAGCCCCGGGCUCAACCUGGGAAUUGCAUUCAAAACUGGCACGCUAGAGUAUGUGAGAGGGGGGUAGAAUUCCAAGUGUAGCGGUGAAAU